GUGCCAGCAGCCGCGGUAAUACAGAGGGUGCAAGCGUUAUCCGGAUUUAUUGGGUUUAAAGGGUCCGUAGGCGGAUCUGUAAGUCAGUGGUGAAAUCUCACAGCUUAACUGUGAAACUGCCAUUGAUACUGCAGGUCUUGAGUGUUGUUGAAGUAGCUGGAAUAAGUAGUGUAGCGGUGAAAUGCAUAGAUAUUACUUAGAACACCAAUUGCGAAGGCAGGUUACUAAGCAACAACUGACGCUGAUGGACGAAAGCGUGGGGAGCGAACAGGAUUAGAUACCCUGGUAGUCCACGCCGUAAACGAUGCUAACUCGUUUUUGGGGCGCAAGCUUCAGAGACUAAGCGAAAGUGAUAAGUUAGCCACCUGGGGAGUACGUUCGCAAGAAUGAAACUCAAAGGAAUUGACGGGGGCCCGCACAAGCGGU
This 426-nucleotide ribosomal RNA is filed under the name uncultured bacterium. RNAcentral describes it as "bacterial SSU rRNA". It matches the Rfam family "Bacterial small subunit ribosomal RNA", at positions 505 to 933 of the family's 1533-position model. The record is from RNAcentral.